This 2906-nucleotide ribosomal RNA is filed under the name Escherichia coli. Its description in RNAcentral is "23S ribosomal RNA". It matches the Rfam family "Bacterial large subunit ribosomal RNA". Lineage: Bacteria; Pseudomonadati; Pseudomonadota; Gammaproteobacteria; Enterobacterales; Enterobacteriaceae. The record is from RNAcentral.
GGUUAAGCGACUAAGCGUACACGGUGGAUGCCCUGGCAGUCAGAGGCGAUGAAGGACGUGCUAAUCUGCGAUAAGCGUCGGUAAGGUGAUAUGAACCGUUAUAACCGGCGAUUUCCGAAUGGGGAAACCCAGUGUGAUUCGUCACACUAUCAUUAACUGAAUCCAUAGGUUAAUGAGGCGAACCGGGGGAACUGAAACAUCUAAGUACCCCGAGGAAAAGAAAUCAACCGAGAUUCCCCCAGUAGCGGCGAGCGAACGGGGAGCAGCCCAGAGCCUGAAUCAGUGUGUGUGUUAGUGGAAGCGUCUGGAAAGGCGCGCGAUACAGGGUGACAGCCCCGUACACAAAAAUGCACAUACUGUGAGCUCGAUGAGUAGGGCGGGACACGUGGUAUCCUGUCUGAAUAUGGGGGGACCAUCCUCCAAGGCUAAAUACUCCUGACUGACCGAUAGUGAACCAGUACCGUGAGGGAAAGGCGAAAAGAACCCCGGCGAGGGGAGUGAAAAAGAACCUGAAACCGUGUACGUACAAGCAGUGGGAGCCUCUUUUAUGGGGUGACUGCGUACCUUUUGUAUAAUGGGUCAGCGACUUAUAUUCUGUAGCAAGGUUAACCGAAUAGGGGAGCCGAAGGGAAACCGAGUCUUAACCGGGCGUUAAGUUGCAGGGUAUAGACCCGAAACCCGGUGAUCUAGCCAUGGGCAGGUUGAAGGUUGGGUAACACUAACUGGAGGACCGAACCGACUAAUGUUGAAAAAUUAGCGGAUGACUUGUGGCUGGGGGUGAAAGGCCAAUCAAACCGGGAGAUAGCUGGUUCUCCCCGAAAGCUAUUUAGGUAGCGCCUCGUGAAUUCAUCUCCGGGGGUAGAGCACUGUUUCGGCAAGGGGGUCAUCCCGACUUACCAACCCGAUGCAAACUGCGAAUACCGGAGAAUGUUAUCACGGGAGACACACGGCGGGUGCUAACGUCCGUCGUGAAGAGGGAAACAACCCAGACCGCCAGCUAAGGUCCCAAAGUCAUGGUUAAGUGGGAAACGAUGUGGGAAGGCCCAGACAGCCAGGAUGUUGGCUUAGAAGCAGCCAUCAUUUAAAGAAAGCGUAAUAGCUCACUGGUCGAGUCGGCCUGCGCGGAAGAUGUAACGGGGCUAAACCAUGCACCGAAGCUGCGGCAGCGACACUGUGUGUUGUUGGGUAGGGGAGCGUUCUGUAAGCCUGUGAAGGUGUACUGUGAGGUAUGCUGGAGGUAUCAGAAGUGCGAAUGCUGACAUAAGUAACGAUAAAGCGGGUGAAAAGCCCGCUCGCCGGAAGACCAAGGGUUCCUGUCCAACGUUAAUCGGGGCAGGGUGAGUCGACCCCUAAGGCGAGGCCGAAAGGCGUAGUCGAUGGGAAACAGGUUAAUAUUCCUGUACUUGGUGUUACUGCGAAGGGGGGGACGGAGAAGGCUAUGUUGGCCGGGCGACGGUUGUCCCGGUUUAAGCGUGUAGGCUGGUUUUCCGAGGCAAAUCCGGAAAAUCAAGGCUGAGGCGUGAUGACGAGGCACUACGGUGCUGAAGCAACAAAUGCCCUGCUUCCAGGAAAAGCCUCUAAGCAUCAGGUAACAUCAAAUCGUACCCCAAACCGACACAGGUGGUCAGGUAGAGAAUACCAAGGCGCUUGAGAGAACUCGGGUGAAGGAACUAGGCAAAAUGGUGCCGUAACUUCGGGAGAAGGCACGCUGAUAUGUAGGUGAAGUCCCUCGCGGAUGGAGCUGAAAUCAGUCGAAGAUACCAGCUGGCUGCAACUGUUUAUUAAAAACACAGCACUGUGCAAACACGAAAGUGGACGUAUACGGUGUGACGCCUGCCCGGUGCCGGAAGGUUAAUUGAUGGGGUCAGCGCAAGCGAAGCUCUUGAUCGAAGCCCCGGUAAACGGCGGCCGUAACUAUAACGGUCCUAAGGUAGCGAAAUUCCUUGUCGGGUAAGUUCCGACCUGCACGAAUGGCGUAAUGAUGGCCAGGCUGUCUCCACCCGAGACUCAGUGAAAUUGAACUCGCUGUGAAGAUGCAGUGUACCCGCGGCAAGACGGAAAGACCCCGUGAACCUUUACUAUAGCUUGACACUGAACAUUGAGCCUUGAUGUGUAGGAUAGGUGGGGAGGCUUUGAAGUGUGGACGCCAGUCUGCAUGGAGCCGACCUUGAAAUACCACCCUUUAAUGUUUGAUGUUCUAACGUGGACCCGUGAUCCGGGUUGCGGACAGUGUCUGGUGGGUAGUUUGACUGGGGCGGUCUCCUCCUAAAGAGUAACGGAGGAGCACGAAGGUUGGCUAAUCCUGGUCGGACAUCAGGAGGUUAGUGCAAUGGCAUAAGCCAGCUUGACUGCGAGCGUGACGGCGCGAGCAGGUGCGAAAGCAGGUCAUAGUGAUCCGGUGGUUCUGAAUGGAAGGGCCAUCGCUCAACGGAUAAAAAGGUACUCCGGGGAUAACAGGCUGAUACCGCCCAAGAGUUCAUAUCGACGGCGGUGUUUGGCACCUCGAUGUCGGCUCAUCACAUCCUGGGGCUGAAGUAGGUCCCAAGGGUAUGGCUGUUCGCCAUUUAAAGUGGUACGCGAGCUGGGUUUAGAACGUCGUGAGACAGUUCGGUCCCUAUCUGCCGUGGGCGCUGGAGAACUGAGGGGGCUGCUCCUAGUACGAGAGGACCGGAGUGGACGCAUCACUGGUGUUCGGGUUGUCAUGCCAAUGGCACUGCCCGGUAGCUAAAUGCGGAAGAGAUAAGUGCUGAAAGCAUCUAAGCACGAAACUUGCCCCGAGAUGAGUUCUCCCUGACCCUUUAAGGGUCCUGAAGGAACGUUGAAGACGACGACGUUGAUAGGCCGGGUGUGUAAGCGCAGCGAUGCGUUGAGCUAACCGGUACUAAUGAACCGUGAGGCUUAACCUU